RNAcentral lists this long non-coding RNA (586 nucleotides) under Rosa chinensis. RNAcentral's name for it is "sRNA RchiOBHm_Chr7g0186351". The record is from RNAcentral. Lineage: Eukaryota; Viridiplantae; Streptophyta; Magnoliopsida; Rosales; Rosaceae.
UAUACUUUACUGACUUUACUUUCAAACAGAAACCGAAACAAAAGCAUUUAGUUACUCAUUCAAAAGAUUCCUCUAUUUUCCUAUAAACCUGAGAUAACAGUCACAAAAGAGAAGAGUUAAUAGGAGGAGGAGAACAAGAGAGGAGAAGGAGCAGUCAAGUGUUCAUGGAGCAGUCAACAACUUUCCCGCAAAAGGAAACGAAAGACCAGGCAGCCAAGAGUACUUUGAAGGAGAAGAAAGCGAGGCUGUACAUUAUCAAACGAUGUAUUUUGAUGCUAAUAUGUUGGAGGGAAAAUGCAGAUUAAUAAUACUGAAGGUACUGCAGUUAUAUAGAUGGUGACUUGAAGAUGGGAUCUGUGAGACAAAGUCACUACAAAGAACACAUCAUUGAUCAUUUCAUCUAAAUUGAUCAAGUGAAAGUGCAGUAUGACUCUACAAAUCCAUCAGUAGGUUCCUGAAAUCUGAGAUUUACUAAUAGGCUUGAAAAGGGACAGGGUUUACAUUUUUAUAAAUUUUAAUGUAAAACUUACGUACCAAAAUUAGGAGAUUCUGAAAGUAGCAUCAAUCUGAGAAUAUUCAAUCCAUU